Molecule: ribosomal RNA, 254 nt
Filed under: uncultured bacterium
Lineage: Bacteria
Also listed under: 1 other name
Description: partial 16S ribosomal RNA
Rfam family: Bacterial small subunit ribosomal RNA
Source: RNAcentral
UACAGAGGGUGCGAGCGUUGUUCGGAAUUACUGGGCGUAAAGCGCGCGCAGGCGGCCCUUUAAGUCUGCCGGUCAAAUGCCGGGGCUCAACCCCGUGCUCGCCGGAGAUACUGGGGGGCUGGAGACAGGUAGAGGCGAGUGGAAUUCCGGGUGUAGCGGUGGAAUGCGUAGAGAUCCGGAAGAACACCGGAGGCGAAGGCGGCUCGCUGGGCCUGGUCUGACGCUGAGGCGCGAAAGCGUGGGGAGCGAACAGG